Molecule: long non-coding RNA, 426 nt
Filed under: Homo sapiens (human)
Lineage: Eukaryota; Metazoa; Chordata; Mammalia; Primates; Hominidae
Description: HSALNT0395065
Source: RNAcentral
AGUAUGCUACCCAGCUGCCAGAGCGGCUCAAAUAUAAGCAGGCAGAAACAUAUGAAAAGAGAGACUGGCCUAGCCUCCCAGCCUACGUCUUUCUCCCAUGCUCAAUGCUUCCUGCCCUCGAACAUCGGACUCCAAGUUCUUCAGUUUUGGAACUCGGACUGGCUCUCCUUGCUCCUCAGCCUGUAGAUGGCCUAUUGUGGGACUUUGUGAUCAUAAUAAACUGCAGGAAUUGUUGGACAAUGGGUGCAUUUGGAAGAGCCACGCGGGAGCACUGAGAAGUGAAAUGAUCCAGCUCCAAAAAUAAAGGUGAUACACGUUAAAGUAAUAAAUUGGAAAAAAUAAAAUAGAUGCAACUCUUAGUUCGCAUAUCUGGAAAAGCUGGUUAUAUUGCAAAGACCUUAUUGAGAAUAUUUAUGUAUAUGUGCU